Molecule: ribosomal RNA, 592 nt
Filed under: uncultured bacterium
Lineage: Bacteria
Description: bacterial SSU rRNA
Rfam family: Bacterial small subunit ribosomal RNA
Source: RNAcentral
UCGUGCGAGAAGGGGACUUCGGUCCCUGAGUAGAGCGGCGCACGGGUGAGUAACGCGUGGAUGAUCUACCCAGAUAUUCGGGAUAACGGCGGGAAACUGCCGCUAAUACCGGAUACGCUCCAAUUUCGGUUGGGGGAAAGGCGGCCUCUGCUUGCAAGCUGUCGUAUCUGGAUGAGUCCGCGUCCCAUUAGCUUGUUGGUGGGGUAAUGGCCUACCAAGGCGACGAUGGGUAGCUGGUCUGAGAGGAUGAUCAGCCACACUGGAACUGAAACACGGUCCAGACUCCUACGGGAGGCAGCAGUGGGGAAUAUUGCGCAAUGGGGGAAACCCUGACGCAGCGACGCCGUGUGAGGGAAGAAGGCUUUCGGGUCGUAAACCUCUGUCGGGAGGGAAGAACCUUCCAGGCCUGAACAAGUCCUGGAACUGACGGUACCUCCAAAGGAAGCACCGGCUAACUCCGUGCCAGCAGCCGCGGUAAUACGGAGGGUGCAAGCGUUAAUCGGAAUCACUGGGCGUAAAGCGCGCGUAGGCGGCCUUUUAAGUCGGACGUGAAAGCCCUCGGCUCAACCGGGGAACUGCGUUCGAAACUGGG